Long non-coding RNA from Carcharodon carcharias (great white shark), 1583 nucleotides. RefSeq lists it as uncharacterized. The transcript is spliced from 2 exons. Lineage: Eukaryota; Metazoa; Chordata; Chondrichthyes; Lamniformes; Lamnidae. The record is from RefSeq and is a predicted model, not a curated record.
GGCUAAGUUCUUGUUUUCUUGCAGCUUAGACAGGGUAAAUUCACUCUGUUGUGAGAGCUGAGUAGUUAAUUCGCUAACUGGUUGAAUCUGGUUAUUCUAGCCCCUGUUCAGUUGGCUAUAAAUACAGGCCUCUUCAGAGCAGCUAAGGCAAACGAGUGCAUACUUGGAGUUUGGUGAGGGGGGGAGUUCGGUGAAGUGGAGGGAGGAGAUGCUCAUUUCCUUUUUUUUAUCUUUCUCACACUGUUGGAAUUGGUUCUUGCUCUACUACAGGGAAAGGAGCUAGCUGUUUGGGAACUGAACGACAUUGACACACACAGAGGAACACGUACAGACAUAUGCCCCGAGAGUGACAGAGGCCUAAGGAGAGACAAACACCCAGAAAGCAAGGAUGUCACCAACCAGGCCAAUUAUUGUUCCAUUUCAGACUGCAAAUUUAGAGAAUGUUUGGGAUGAAUGGAAAUAAGAAACACGGGGAAUUUGGAUGGUUUUUAUUCCAUUUAACCGAUAACUAAUUCUGUGAUUGGUUAUAAUCAGGAAUGAUGAGAAGUGGAGUUGACAGAUUUCCAACCUGCGUGAGGAGAACCCACUGGAUUUCAAACCCAUCACCUUAACCACUCGGCCACAACUACUCGGGAAGGAUGAUAGAAUGGAUACGGAGUGUUACAGAGAAAAACAGUAUUCGGUCCAUCCAGUCUGUGCCCUUCCCCCACCCUUUCCUGGUCACCUGUAAUUUACUGUCUCUGUCUCUCCUCAUUCUCCCAACCAGAAUGAAACACUGCACAGCUCAGCUGCCCCUUGCCCACAUGAAGAACUUUCUGGAACAACCUAGCAGAGCAAACCACCCAAAACUUUAGCAGUGGUGGGAUUCAAACCCACAGCUCCAAAGAGACAAGAUCCUAACUCCAGUACCACACACUGCUCAACCACAUGACCACAUUCACAUCUGGAACAUUCAAAAUGACUAAUAAAGUCAUGAAAGAUGUUUUGUUGUUGUUUGUUAUGUUAUUUGGUAGAAUUAGAGUGAAGUGUGGGAUUAAGCCAGAGCCUAAGUCACCCACUUAAAGGACUGGAAGAGGGAGAAUAUUGUCACGUAUGUAGUGUUGUGAUGUGGUAGAUUUUGUUAAAAAAAGCUAACAUUUCUUUUAAAUGGGCGCAAAGAACCUUAAAAAUAGCUGCCAAAGGUCAGCUGACCUUUUCCAACUGCAAUAUUUGCCAAGCUUCUAGGAGGCUUCAAGUAAAUUGGAAAUGGACCUACCCAGAUAUGUGACGACAUCUGAAAUCCAAGGCGCAUUUUCACAAGGGUAAACUCAUUGACAGUGAUUUCCCUGGAAGUGUGAAUAGCUCUUUCCCAUCUCACCAAACCUCUCAGAGUGGGAGUCAUUCAAGUUCAUAAACAGAUUAACAGUUUUCUUUAUUAACACUGUCAUUUUUUUUCUUUAAGUCUUUUGGUGACAUUGUUACUAAAUUUGGAAUCCACUGUCCCUCUUUGCUCUUCCUUGGCAAUGUAAACCAAUUUAGAUUUGUUUCCAGUCUUGUCAUUUCCAAAGGGUCCCGUCCAUAUUCAAUAAAAUGUUUGUUGAUGA